RNAcentral lists this ribosomal RNA (1110 nucleotides) under Salmonella enterica subsp. enterica serovar Enteritidis. Its description in RNAcentral is "partial 23S ribosomal RNA". It matches the Rfam family "Bacterial large subunit ribosomal RNA", at positions 42 to 1191 of the family's 2925-position model. Lineage: Bacteria; Pseudomonadati; Pseudomonadota; Gammaproteobacteria; Enterobacterales; Enterobacteriaceae. The record is from RNAcentral.
AGAGGCGAUGAAGGGCGUGCUAAUCUGCGAUAAGCGCCGGUAAGGUGAUAUGAACCGUUAUAACCGGCGAUACCCGAAUGGGGAAACCCAGUGUGACUCGUCACACUAUCAUUAACUGAAUCCAUAGGUUAAUGAGGCGAACCGGGGGAACUGAAACAUCUAAGUACCCCGAGGAAAAGAAAUCAACCGAGAUUCCCCCAGUAGCGGCGAGCGAACGGGGAGGAGCCCAGAGCCUGAAUCAGCAUGUGUGUUAGUGGAAGCGUCUGGAAAGGCGCGCGAUACAGGGUGACAGCCCCGUACACAAAAGCGCAUGUGCUGUGAGCUCGAUGAGUAGGGCGGGACACGUGGUAUCCUGUCUGAAUAUGGGGGGACCAUCCUCCAAGGCUAAAUACUCCUGACUGACCGAUAGUGAACCAGUACCGUGAGGGAAAGGCGAAAAGAACCCCGGCGAGGGGAGUGAAAAAGAACCUGAAACCGUGUACGUACAAGCAGUGGGAGCACAGGUUUACCUGUGUGACUGCGUACCUUUUGUAUAAUGGGUCAGCGACUUAUAUUCUGUAGCAAGGUUAACCGAAUAGGGGAGCCGGAGGGAAACCGAGUCUUAAUUGGGCGUUAAGUUGCAGGGUAUAGACCCGAAACCCGGUGAUCUAGCCAUGGGCAGGUUGAAGGUUGGGUAACACUAACUGGAGGACCGAACCGACUAAUGUUGAAAAAUUAGCGGAUGACCUGUGGCUGGGGGUGAAAGGCCAAUCAAACCGGGAGAUAGCUGGUUCUCCCCGAAAGCUAUUUAGGUAGCGCCUCGUGAAUUCAUCUCCGGGGGUAGAGCACUGUUUCGGCUAGGGGGCCAUCCCGGCUUACCAACCCGAUGCAAACUGCGAAUACCGGAGAAUGUUAUCACGGGAGACACACGGCGGGUGCUAACGUCCGUCGUGAAGAGGGAAACAACCCAGACCGCCAGCUAAGGUCCCAAAGUCAUGGUUAAGUGGGAAACGAUGUGGGAAGGCCCAGACAGCCAGGAUGUUGGCUUAGAAGCAGCCAUCAUUUAAAGAAAGCGUAAUAGCUCACUGGUCGAGUCGGCCUGCGCGGAAGAUGUAACGGGGCUAAACCAUG